This is a long non-coding RNA of Meriones unguiculatus (Mongolian gerbil), 1126 nucleotides long. RefSeq lists it as uncharacterized. The record is from RefSeq and is a predicted model, not a curated record. NCBI's taxonomy places the organism in Eukaryota, Metazoa, Chordata, Mammalia, Rodentia, Muridae. The transcript is spliced from 4 exons.
CCGAAGCAAUGCAUCUAGUCUACCUUGGAUGGUAGCCUCAGAAACAGGCUAAAACAAGUAAUUUCUCCUUUAAAAUGGUUUACUUCAGGUAUUUGUCACAGAGGGAAAAACCUGACUAACCCGGAAGAGUCUGAAGUUAGUCAUUUUUGACAUCUUUUCCAGCUGUACCAUCUCUGAACUCAGCGUUCAGUUGCACAAGUGCCUGCUAAGCUUUACAAAGAUUCUUUCUCAAAAGAUGCACAGCGCACUGGGAUCACCAAUUUAUGUGGUGCUUAUCUCAAAGAAAUAAAACAAAACAAAAAAAAGAGGUAUAACCCAGAACCAGGAAGAUGAAGCAAAGCCAAGGAGUCUGCAAACUGGUAAAUGAAAUGCAAACAAUAAUGAAGCAUAAUGGAAAGGAAAGUUGGUUUAUGAGUGAAAAGAGAAACCAAAGUUUUAGAGGUCAUCCAAGGGUUGGCUCCCUCAGGGGACUGUGGACUCUGCAACCUCCCUCCACUCUGGCUUCUGGUGGAUUGAUGAUGCUCUUACAGUUGGUGGCCUGGGCAGAACCCCACCUUCCCUUGGUCCCAGUCACCUGGAUAAAUAACAGAUGUGCGUAUCAGCAAAUCUGCUCCAUUGUCAUAUGGCAUCCAUCAUGUUUCCUGACUCCUUGCAUGCCUGGAUUAUAAAGGUCUUAUUCCUAACACUAUGCCAUACUGGUUGCCUUCCUCAUGUUCUUGUGCCCCACAGGUACCAUCUUAAUGCUAGAUCCUGCUCCACUGCCUGUCAACAUGUUCUUAGUUAUGAACUCACUUCCACAGUGUGCCUCAUUUCCUAAGGCAAUGGUCCUCAGCCCUCCUAAUGCUUCCUUCAACACAGUUCCUCAUGGUGUUGUGACCCCCAAUCAUAAAAUUAUUUUGUUGCUACUUCAUAACUGUAAUUUUGCUACAGUUAUGAAUGAUAUUGUAAACAUAUACUACGGUAUCUGAUAGACAACCCCCAAAGGGGUCAUGACCCACACAUUGAGAACCACCUUCUAAAGGAAUGCUGUCACCAGCAUCAUUGUCCCUUGUAUCCAAUGCUGUAAUCUUGAGUGUUGUCACUGAGAUGCACAGCACCUCUGUGGAGUAUGAAUUCGAAAUAAAUG